GAUUUAUAAGAGCCACAGAUCCUCGGCACUGGUUUGCUUCAAGACUUCCUCAGCAGGACAUGUAACCCACAAAAUGUAGCCAGUAUCCAGGGCUGCUCACAGCUUUGCUUCUUGAGAGAUUUAACGACGAUGAUGGUCUUAAAAUGGUUUUACCACAAGAAGGAAUACACCUGUUGUCUUCCCCUGAAGCCUCACACUCACGCCAGUCUGAGGAGAUUACAACUAUUUGAUAAAUCCAGAGGGUUUACCACAGAUCAUGGGGAGACAAUGCAGAUUUGAUAAAAGAAGAGCCUGUAUGUGGCUCAACGGAGGGGCUGAUGGACUCCAGCCCACACUGAAUGUGUUCUCACCUGAUGAAAGGUCUUGAGACGGCCAGGAUGGUCCGGAUGAACCACGUCGGCUCCCAUAUGUAUGUCGACUAAAGCUGAAAUGAAACCCGAGGACAUCUCGUUGCCAUUGUUGAAGAACUCCAGAGAGUCGGUUUCAUCAGGAGUCUCCAUGUCGUCUACAUUGAUGUCCAGGUCGUCGGGCGUCU
Molecule: long non-coding RNA, 535 nt
Organism: Pseudoliparis swirei
Lineage: Eukaryota; Metazoa; Chordata; Actinopteri; Perciformes; Liparidae
Exons: 5
Source: RefSeq, a predicted model, not a curated record